RNAcentral lists this ribosomal RNA (359 nucleotides) under uncultured bacterium. Its description in RNAcentral is "bacterial SSU rRNA". It matches the Rfam family "Bacterial small subunit ribosomal RNA", at positions 917 to 1271 of the family's 1533-position model. The record is from RNAcentral.
GGGCCCGCACAAGCGGUGGAGCAUGUGGUUUAAUUCGAAGCAACGCGCAGAACCUUACCCAGGCUUGACAUCCUCAGAACCUCUUGGAAACAAGAGGGUGCCCUCUCACGAGGGAAUUGAGUGACAGGUGCUGCAUGGCUGUCGUCAGCUCGUGCUGUGAGGUGUUCGGUUAAGUCCGGCAACGAGCGCAACCCCUGUCGCUAGUUACCAGCAUUUAGUUGGGGACUCUAGCGAGACUGCCGGUGAUAAACCGGAGGAAGGUGGGGACGACGUCAAGUCCUCAUGGCCCUUAUGUCUGGGGCUACACACGUGCUACAAUGGCAUCUACAGAAGGCAGCGAAGUCGCAAGGCGGAGCAAA